RNAcentral lists this ribosomal RNA (160 nucleotides) under Saxifraga ascoldica. RNAcentral's name for it is "5.8S ribosomal RNA". It matches the Rfam family "5.8S ribosomal RNA". From Rfam's summary of the family: 5.8S ribosomal RNA (5.8S rRNA) is a component of the large subunit of the eukaryotic ribosome. The record is from RNAcentral. Lineage: Eukaryota; Viridiplantae; Streptophyta; Magnoliopsida; Saxifragales; Saxifragaceae.
AUGACUCUCGGCAACGGAUAUCUCGGCUCUUACAUCGAUGAAGAACGUAGCAAAAUGCGAUACUUGGUGUGAAUUGCAGAAUCCCGUGAACCAUCGAGUCUUUGAACGCAAGUUGCGCCCGAAUCCAUCCGGUCGAGGGCACGUCUGCCUGGGUGUCACG